RNAcentral lists this ribosomal RNA (692 nucleotides) under uncultured bacterium. RNAcentral's name for it is "bacterial SSU rRNA". It matches the Rfam family "Bacterial small subunit ribosomal RNA", at positions 44 to 715 of the family's 1533-position model. The record is from RNAcentral.
AUGCUUAACACAUGCAAGUCGAACGGAAACGACACUGACAAUCCUUCGGGUGCGUUAAUGGGCGUCGAGCGGCGGACGGGUGAGUAAUGCCUAGGAAAUUGCCUUGAUGUGGGGGAUAACCAUUGGAAACGAUGGCUAAUACCGCAUAAUGCCUACGGGCCAAAGAGGGGGACCUUCGGGCCUCUCGCGUCAAGAUAUGCCUAGGUGGGAUUAGCUAGUUGGUGAGGUAAUGGCUCACCAAGGCGACGAUCCCUAGCUGGUCUGAGAGGAUGAUCAGCCACACUGGAACUGAGACACGGUCCAGACUCCUACGGGAGGCAGCAGUGGGGAAUAUUGCACAAUGGGCGCAAGCCUGAUGCAGCCAUGCCGCGUGUAUGAAGAAGGCCUUCGGGUUGUAAAGUACUUUCAGUUGUGAGGAAGGGGGUAACGUUAAUAGCGUUAUCUCUUGACGUUAGCAACAGAAGAAGCACCGGCUAACUCCGUGCCAGCAGCCGCGGUAAUACGGAGGGUGCGAGCGUUAAUCGGAAUUACUGGGCGUAAAGCGCAUGCAGGUGGUUCAUUAAGUCAGAUGUGAAAGCCCGGGGCUCAACCUCGGAACUGCAUUUGAAACUGGUGAACUAGAGUGCUGUAGAGGGGGGUAGAAUUUCAGGUGUAGCGGUGAAAUGCGUAGAGAUCUGAAGGAACACCAGUGG